This 292-nucleotide long non-coding RNA is filed under the name Phaseolus vulgaris (common bean). Its description in RNAcentral is "long non-coding RNA (PVUL_LNC002928)". Lineage: Eukaryota; Viridiplantae; Streptophyta; Magnoliopsida; Fabales; Fabaceae. The record is from RNAcentral.
AUCAAUCUCUAACCAAAUUGAAAUCAUUUUUCUCAAUCAUAAUUUUAAGAGUAAAUAUAUUGUAAUUCUUGUAGUCAACCUCAAAAAGUUUUCAUUGCAAAAACAUCUUCAAAAUAUCAGCUUAAAUCAAACUAAAAUACCAAAAGAAUUAAAUUUGUGUUGAUGAAAGUCAUAGUAAUAUAUAUUAUUACAACAAAGUAUAAAAUAUUUUAAAACUUGUUCGUUAAAUAUUAUUUUUAUUAAAUAACUUAAAAUGAUAUAUAGUUCAAUAAAAUUUAUAUUUUAAUUUGAC